UACGUAGGGUGCGAGCGUUAAUCGGAAUUACUGGGCGUAAAGCGUGCGCAGGCGGCUAUGCAAGACAGAUGUGAAAUCCCCGGGCUCAACCUGGGAACUGCAUUUGUGACUGCAUGGCUAGAGUACGGUAGAGGGGGAUGGAAUUCCGCGUGUAGCAGUGAAAUGCGUAGAUAUGCGGAGGAACACCGAUGGCGAAGGCAAUCCCCUGGACCUGUACUGACGCUCAUGCACGAAAGCGUGGGGAGCAAACAGG
This 253-nucleotide ribosomal RNA is filed under the name uncultured bacterium. Its description in RNAcentral is "partial 16S ribosomal RNA". It matches the Rfam family "Bacterial small subunit ribosomal RNA", at positions 524 to 776 of the family's 1533-position model. The record is from RNAcentral.